This is a long non-coding RNA of Echinops telfairi (small Madagascar hedgehog), 1429 nucleotides long. RefSeq lists it as uncharacterized. Lineage: Eukaryota; Metazoa; Chordata; Mammalia; Afrosoricida; Tenrecidae. The transcript is spliced from 3 exons. The record is from RefSeq and is a predicted model, not a curated record.
UUCCCGCUCCACCCACUGGCCCCCUAGGGAGUCACGAGGGUGGGAUGCGGCUGGACUGAACCCAAGACAGGCCAUUCCUUGAGUCCUUCCCGACUGCUGUGCCUCAGUUUCCCCAGAAUCCCAGGAGAUAGACCAUGGGGUGAUGAUCUGCCUCUCGGACUCUGCCGGGCAGGUGGGGACGAAGGUCCCCAUUUUAUAGACUAGGCUACGAAAUCCCCACUCACAAAGACAAACCUGUCUGGCCGUGUUCAUAGCCCGGCAUGGGAUGACCCAGGGAGCCGAGUAAACUUGUGCUUACUAUAAAUCCGUAGUGGACAAUGCCACACUUUUACACCACAUCAAAGAGUCCGCUUCUCGCCCUCGCUGGCAGGCCCCACAGCACCUCACUAUGGAAGUGGAGCCGCUUUUCACACCAAGAGUCCUAGUCAGGGACACGGGGCUGCCCAGUAGGUCAGGUGAGCAUGGGCUCACUUGUGCUCACUUACUAAUCUGUGGUGAACAGUUUCGUGUGUGCGUCACCACAUCAAAGAAAAACCUCUGGUGGUGGGGGGGGGAACAACUACGAAACCGUUCACUACAGAUUAGUAAGCACGCCUAAGAAAGCCCAGGCUUACCUUGCCUGUUGGGUGGUCCGUCCCUGCCACAGCCCAUUGUUGGACAGAUGAAGAGGCCAAGGCUCAGGAGGGUAAAGGGGACAUGGCCAAGGUCUUCUAGAAUGGAGGUAGUGGAGGCAGGGACUUGGCCUUGGCAGCCAGCCCCUUCCAGCUUCCUGCCUGGCUGGGCUGUUGAAUCAGCAGCAGACUGGAGCUUCUUGGGAAACAGCAGGGAGAUAAGCGGGGCAGCCCUCCCUAAUAGCAUCUGGGCGAGGCUAGAACCCAUGCAGGUCCCAGCCGCUUCCUGCCCAGGGGCUAGAGGAGACACGGACCAUGGGCAGAGCUGGUCCCUGUGCUAUGGCACUGUGACCUUGAGCCAAACUGCCCCAUCUAGGCAAUACAGAGGGUGCUGAUUGGGGGGAUGCCUUUCUUCCUCCAGCUCUAAUGGAAGCUCUGCCUUCUUCCAGAGCAAGGGGCGGUGGGCCCAGCGCUGUGGCUUUGGGCGAUUUACGUAAUCUCUCUGGGCCUCAGUUUCAAUAUCGAUUCAUUGAGGGACUCCACUCCCCACCUCUCAUGGGCUGUCGAGACAUUUAAGGUAUUUGAGCACCUACUAUGUGCCAGGCACUGCAAUUCAAAGGCUGCCUACCCUCCUGGAGCAGGCCCACACGACAACCCAGAUGCAGAGACCGAGGCCCGGAGAGGCUAACAGCUUGCCCAGCGUCACCCAGCCCAGAGGCUGCCGAGCUGAGAUUUGAACCCAGAGAGGAGGUCGUGGAGACUGGAGCAGAGCAGAGGGCGGGGAGGCGUUCGGUGGUCUGAGAGGUAGGAGGGCUUCG